This 324-nucleotide ribosomal RNA is filed under the name Triticum aestivum (bread wheat). RNAcentral's name for it is "partial small subunit ribosomal RNA". The record is from RNAcentral. Lineage: Eukaryota; Viridiplantae; Streptophyta; Magnoliopsida; Poales; Poaceae.
AUGAAGCAACGGACUGACAAAUCGUGGCCAGCAUACAGGCAGGCGAAGAUAGCCAAUGUAUUUGCAUGUUUUCUUGACUUAUAUUACAAUGCAUCCACAAUAAAAGCUAAAUUACAUAAUGAUAUUCUCCCAUAUACAAUGAAACUUAUCUUUUCAUGGAAUUCAGAAUGUUUUUUAACAGCUCACUCAUGUAUAUUGAUCUGGGUAGUAUAUGUUAUUCUGGUUGACAUUUAUCACUUAAAAUUAAUUGUAUACUAUAAUGGUAAUAUCCAACUUGGUCCCCUUGAAUUGCUCAGGACAUUUGUGUUAGAUCUUCGAACUUAG